This 902-nucleotide ribosomal RNA is filed under the name uncultured Bacillota bacterium. RNAcentral's name for it is "bacterial SSU rRNA". It matches the Rfam family "Bacterial small subunit ribosomal RNA", at positions 58 to 936 of the family's 1533-position model. The record is from RNAcentral. Lineage: Bacteria; Bacillati; Bacillota.
CAAGUCGAACGCGAAAGUUCCCUUCGGGGGGCGAGUAGAGUGGCGCACGGGUGAGUAACACGUAGGUAAUCUACCUUUGGAUUGGGAAUAACAACCGGAAACGGUUGCUAAUACCGAAUAAUGCAGCGGCACCUAAUGGUGACAGUUGUUAAAGCGGGGGAUCGCAAGACCUCGCGUCUGAAGAGGAGCCUGCGGCAGAUUAGCUAGUUGGUAAGGUAACGGCUUACCAAGGCGAUGAUCUGUAGCCGGCCUGAGAGGGCGGUCGGCCACACUGACACUGACAUACGGGUCAGACUCCUACGGGAGGCAGCAGUCGGGAAUUUUGGGCAAUGGGCGCAAGCCUGACCCAGCAACGCCGCGUGAAGGAUGAAAUCCCUCGGGAUGUAAACUUCGCAAGAACGGGAAGAAUAAGUAGGGGUUAAUAUCCCUUAUGAUGACGGUACUGUUUGUAAGCUCCGGCUAACUCCGUGCCAGCAGCCGCGGUAAUACGGGGGGAGCAAGCGUUGUUCGGAUUUACUGGGCGUAAAGGGCGCGUAGGCGGCCACCGCAAGUCGGUUGUGAAAUCUCCGGGCUUAACCCGGAAAGGUCAAUCGAUACUGCGGGGCUAGAGUGCAGAAGGGGCAACUGGAAUUCUCGGUGUAGCGGUGAAAUGCGUAGAUAUCGAGAGGAACACCUGCGGCGAAGGCGGGUUGCUGGGCUGACACUGACGCUGAAGCGCGAAAGCUAGGGGAGCGAACGGGAUUAGAUACCCCGGUAGUCCUAGCCUUAAACGAUGAAUGCUUGGUGUCUGGGGUUUUAUAGUCCCCGGGUGCCGUCGCUAACGCUUUAAGCAUUCCGCCUGGGGAGUACGGUCGCAAGACUGAAACUCAAAGGAAUUGACGGGGACCCGCACAAGCGGUGGA